This 528-nucleotide unclassified non-coding RNA is filed under the name Proteus vulgaris. Its description in RNAcentral is "partial 16S-23S ribosomal RNA intergenic spacer". The stretch from base 258 to 370 matches the Rfam family "Salmonella enterica Typhi npcRNA 44". Lineage: Bacteria; Pseudomonadati; Pseudomonadota; Gammaproteobacteria; Enterobacterales; Morganellaceae. The record is from RNAcentral.
CCUAAGAGAUACGUGUUAUGUGCAGUGCUCACACAGAUUGUCUGAUGAAGAACGAGCAAAAGCGCGUCUGCGAAGCUGACUGAAGUCCCCUUCGUCUAGAGGCCUAGGACGCCGCCCUUUCACGGCGGUAACAGGGGUUCGAAUCCCCUAGGGGACGCCAAUUGCGCGGUAUGAGUGAAAGGCGUACCACACUAUAGUCUGAUGCAAGUCAGAGAAUAGUUAAGAUAAUUCGUAUGAGUUAUUUUACCUAUUACGCUCUUUAACAAUCUGGAACAAGCUGAAAAAUUGAAAACAAAUCAAUAUAUCACCGAGGUAUAUUGAUGAGUCUCUCAAAAUCUCAAACUUUGAAUGUGUUUUUCGACAUCGAAGUGGGAUGAGCGAGCAAUUUACAGUUCGAGGCGGCCAGCGCACAGCCAGCGCAACAUACAUAAAUAUGUGAGCAUGGCGAGCACUGCCCAACGACGAAAUGUAAUCUGCGCAGCCAUCACCACCCAGACGUCUUCAAGAAAAGACAUCUUCGGGUUGUGA